Molecule: ribosomal RNA, 626 nt
Filed under: Hepatozoon canis
Lineage: Eukaryota; Apicomplexa; Hepatozoidae
Description: bacterial SSU rRNA
Rfam family: Eukaryotic small subunit ribosomal RNA
Source: RNAcentral
AAGAGACGCAUUUAUUAGAUAAAAAGCCAGUUCAUGCUUUUAUAGUAUGAAAAUUGGUGAUUUAUAAUAACUUAGCAAAUCGCAAAGUGAAAACAGGCGAUAAAUCAUUCAAGUUUCUGACCUAUCAGCUUUCGACGGUAUGGUAUUGGCUUACCGUGGCAGUGACGGUUAACGGGGGAUUAGGGUUCGAUUCCGGAGAGGGAGCCUGAGAAACGGCUACCACAUCUAAGGAAGGCAGCAGGCGCGCAAAUUACCCAAUUCUAACAGUUUGAGAGAGGUAGUAACAAGAAAUAACAAUACAAGGCAGUUAAAAUGCUUUGUAAUUGGAAUGAUAGAAAUUUAAACCCUUUUUAAAGUAUCAAUUGGAGGGCAAGUCUGGUGCCAGCAGCCGCGGUAAUUCCAGCUCCAAUAGCGUAUAUUAAAAUUGUUGCAGUUAAAAAGCUCGUAGUUGAAGUUCUGCUGAAAGUAACCGGUCUGCUUUUAAUAAAAGUGGUAUCUUGGUAUGUAUUUAGCAAUGAUGUCCUUUGAAGUGUUUUUUACUUUAUUGUAAUAAAGCAUAUUCAGGACUUUUACUUUGAGAAAAUUAGAGUGUUUCUAGCAGGCUAACGCUUUGAAUACUGCAGCAU